Molecule: long non-coding RNA, 266 nt
Filed under: Salvia miltiorrhiza (redroot sage)
Lineage: Eukaryota; Viridiplantae; Streptophyta; Magnoliopsida; Lamiales; Lamiaceae
Description: long non-coding RNA (SMIL_LNC005872)
Source: RNAcentral
AUCGACAUUUCAGCUAGACGUUCCUGCUACUAUGCCGGCUGUGAAGCAGCUCUGCGGCCUUCACAGCGUCGCGGCUUACCUACAGAGUCAGCUCUCUCCCUCACAAAACUGAUGAAAUCCAUAUGCUGUCAAAUGUGCAGAAAUUUCCUUUGAGCUUAUGCCAUUGCAUGUACAGCAGCAAGGAAUAAAAGCAGAAAUUGAUUUUCUUUUNUACUUUUUGAGCAACUAAAAUGGAGAUGGCCAUUAUUACUAGAGUUCAAAUAAGG